RNAcentral lists this ribosomal RNA (253 nucleotides) under uncultured bacterium. Its description in RNAcentral is "partial 16S ribosomal RNA". It matches the Rfam family "Bacterial small subunit ribosomal RNA", at positions 524 to 776 of the family's 1533-position model. The record is from RNAcentral.
UACGGAAGGUCCAGGCGUUAUCCGGAUUUAUUGGGUUUAAAGGGAGCGUAGGCGGACUUUUAAGUCAGCUGUGAAAUACCUCGGCUCAACCGAGGCACUGCAGUUGAUACUGUUAGUCUUGAGUGCACAUAAGGAUGGUGGAAUUCGUGGUGUAGCGGUGAAAUGCUUAGAUAUCACGAAGAACUCCGAUUGCGAAGGCAGCUAUCUGGGGUGUAACUGACGCUGAGGCUCGAAAGUGUGGGUAUCAAACAGG